This 283-nucleotide unclassified non-coding RNA is filed under the name Hevea brasiliensis (rubber tree). Lineage: Eukaryota; Viridiplantae; Streptophyta; Magnoliopsida; Malpighiales; Euphorbiaceae. The record is from RNAcentral.
GGCUGGACAAUGGUAUGCUAGAGCAUGUGGGCUUUGUCCCAUUGCUGAUGAAGAGAAGAUAAGGAGUGCACUUGAGAAGAUUUACAACUUCAAUGUGAUGAAGGUGAAGGGAGGAACGCGAGGGGCAGUGAACGGGAUGUUUCCAGAUGGAAGAGUUGAUAAAUCGAUAUUGCAGCCAAAGGAGAUUUGGGCUGGAGUUACAUACUCUGUUGCUGCCUCUAUGAUUCAAGAAGGAUUGGUGGAAACCGGCUUCCAGACUGCAAUGGGAAUUCAUCAAGCGGCU